GAUGAAGAACGUAGCGAAAUGCGAUACGUAAUGUGAAUUGCAAAUUCAGUGAAUCAUCGAGUCUUUGAACGCACAUUGCGCCCCCUGGUAUUCCGGGGGGCAUGCCUGUCCGAGCGUCAUUGCUGCCCUCAAGCACGGCUUGUGUGUUGGGCCCCGUCGUCCGAUCCCGGGGGACGGGCCCGAAAGGCAGCGGCGGCACCGCGUCCGGUCCUCGAGCGUAUGGGGCUUUGUCACCCGCUCUGUAGGCCCGGCCGGCGCUUGCCGAUCAACCCAAAUUUUUAUCCAGGUUGACCUCGGAUCAGGUAGGGAUACCCGCUGAACUUAAGCAUAUCAAUAAGCGGAGGA
Molecule: unclassified non-coding RNA, 345 nt
Filed under: soil metagenome
Description: partial contains 5.8S ribosomal RNA, internal transcribed spacer 2, and large subunit ribosomal RNA
Rfam family: 5.8S ribosomal RNA (bases 1-119)
Source: RNAcentral